RNAcentral lists this ribosomal RNA (620 nucleotides) under Escherichia coli. RNAcentral's name for it is "partial 23S ribosomal RNA". It matches the Rfam family "Bacterial large subunit ribosomal RNA", at positions 2063 to 2682 of the family's 2925-position model. Lineage: Bacteria; Pseudomonadati; Pseudomonadota; Gammaproteobacteria; Enterobacterales; Enterobacteriaceae. The record is from RNAcentral.
AGUGUACCCGCGGCAAGACGGAAAGACCCCGUGAACCUUUACUAUAGCUUGACACUGAACAUUGAGCCUUGAUGUGUAGGAUAGGUGGGAGGCUUAGAAGUGUGGACGCCAGUCUGCAUGGAGCCGACCUUGAAAUACCACCCUUUAAUGUUUGAUGUUCUAACGUUGACCCGUAAUCCGGGUUGCGGACAGUGUCUGGUGGGUAGUUUGACUGGGGCGGUCUCCUCCUAAAGAGUAACGGAGGAGCACGAAGGUUGGCUAAUCCUGGUCGGACAUCAGGAGGUUAGUGCAAUGGCAUAAGCCAGCUUGACUGCGAGCGUGACGGCGCGAGCAGGUGCGAAAGCAGGUCAUAGUGAUCCGGUGGUUCUGAAUGGAAGGGCCAUCGCUCAACGGAUAAAAGGUACUCCGGGGAUAACAGGCUGAUACCGCCCAAGAGUUCAUAUCGACGGCGGUGUUUGGCACCUCGAUGUCGGCUCAUCACAUCCUGGGGCUGAAGUAGGUCCCAAGGGUAUGGCUGUUCGCCAUUUAAAGUGGUACGCGAGCUGGGUUUAGAACGUCGUGAGACAGUUCGGUCCCUAUCUGCCGUGGGCGCUGGAGAACUGAGGGGGGCUGCUCCUAGU